Molecule: ribosomal RNA, 274 nt
Filed under: uncultured bacterium
Lineage: Bacteria
Description: partial 16S ribosomal RNA
Rfam family: Bacterial small subunit ribosomal RNA
Source: RNAcentral
CUACGGAGGGGGUUAGCGUUGUUCGGAAUUACUGGGCGUAAAGCGCACGUAGGCGGAUUGGAAAGUUGGGGGUGAAAUCCCAGGGCUCAACCCUGGAACUGCCUCCAAAACUAACAGUCUAGAGUUCGAGAGAGGUGAGUGGAAUUCCAAGUGUAGAGGUGAAAUUCGUAGAUAUUUGGAGGAACACCAGUGGCGAAGGCGGCUCACUGGCUCGAUACUGACGCUGAGGUGCGAAAGCGUGGGGAGCAAACAGGAUUAGAAACCCUUGUAGUCC